UUACGCACAUUUUCAUCAUAAUCCAACAGCCGGUCCCGGAGGGCAGAGAUGAUCUGAGGUGCUUCUUGUCUAAAUGGAUUUGACAGCAGACAUCCCUUGACAUGUUCAAGGACAGACAUUCUGACCUCAACUAUUCUAUCAGUAAGUCUCUUCAAAAAUUCCAAGAAAAUCGGAUGAAAUGCCUCAGAGAUAGCAGAUUCCGAUAGAGCAAAAAGAUCCCCAACUAAGUGCACAGCUUUUAAUCGCACAUCUAACUGAUCUGUCAGUAGUUCUCCUGUGAUGUAGGGAACAACUCCUGAUAAGAUCUGAGGAGCACAACGGUAAAUAUCAUAAAUGACUUCAUGGUAGUCAAUUUCAAAUGUUGUUGGCCUGCUGUCUCCAGACAUUGAAGAUACAAGAAACUGCUUUAUGCUGGGCUCCAAUUUUCCUGAACACUGCUCUAUCACCUUCAUAGCAAGCCCCCUUCCAGCUAUCGAAACAUCUUUCUUAUGACGACCUAGAACCGACAAAAUGACGUGUAAAAGAUCCUCCCGGAUAUCUUCACUCUCUUCUAUGAGAACAACCAUAAUAGUUUGCAUUGAUGUCAGAAUACUAUCUUGAUGCUCAUCCCUGACAACAUUGAGAAAAGUCUGGAACAUUUCAUUG
Molecule: unclassified non-coding RNA, 645 nt
Filed under: Hevea brasiliensis (rubber tree)
Lineage: Eukaryota; Viridiplantae; Streptophyta; Magnoliopsida; Malpighiales; Euphorbiaceae
Source: RNAcentral